This 421-nucleotide long non-coding RNA is filed under the name Lotus japonicus. RNAcentral's name for it is "long non-coding RNA (LJAP_LNC002225)". Lineage: Eukaryota; Viridiplantae; Streptophyta; Magnoliopsida; Fabales; Fabaceae. The record is from RNAcentral.
UCGACUUGAAUGCUAACCAAUUAACACGAGACCCACAAAUUGUGCAUCAGUGUUCUUUAGCGAUAGUGGAAAAUCAGGGUAGCUAAAAAUCUUUCUCCAACAACUAUCACCUAUACAAUAAACAUUUGUCUCCAAUUUACUAGUACAAUCAUAAUUCGAAAGCGCCACCACCUUGCAUAGAGGAAGUUAAAGGGUCAAAUAAUGUGUGCGUUGAAUAAUGAAAAUUAUGUAGCCUUUAAAUUAAUUUGCAUUUCAUUUCUCAAAUUAAACUGACUUAUUCGUACCAUCAUAAACACAACGGUGGCUAAAACAGACCAAGCCGUUACAUGAGCCAACCAUGCGGUACUUGACCUCCAAUGGGAUGCACCUGUGUUCAGCCAUGAACGACGGAUCCUCGAGCAAACGAUCCAUUCCACUGACG